This 440-nucleotide ribosomal RNA is filed under the name uncultured bacterium. Its description in RNAcentral is "bacterial SSU rRNA". It matches the Rfam family "Bacterial small subunit ribosomal RNA", at positions 338 to 780 of the family's 1533-position model. The record is from RNAcentral.
CCUACGGGUGGCAGCAGUAGGGAAUCUUGCACAAUGGGCGCAAGCCUGAUGCAGCGAUGCCGCGUGAGGGAUGAAGGCCUUCGGGUUGUAAACCUCUUUCAGUAGGGAAGAAGCCACGGGUCACCGUGGUGACGGUACCUGCAGAAGAAGCCCCGGCUAACUACGUGCCAGCAGCCGCGGUAAAACGUAGGGGGCAAGCGUUGCCCGGAUUCACUGGGCGUAAAGCGGGUGUAGGCGGUUCUUUAAGUCGGAUGUGAAAUUUCGCGGCCUAACCGCGAAACUGCAUCCGAUACUGGGGAACUUGAGGACGGUAGAGGUCGGUGGAAUUCCAGGUGUACCGGUGAAAUGGGCAGAUAUCUGGAGGAACACCAGUGGCGAAGGCGGCCGACUGGGCCGAUCCUGACGCUGAGACCCGAAAGCUAGGGUAGCGAACCGGAUUA